AAAAGAACAGAAGUUCAUCUGAUAGCUCUGAUAGUGAAACAGAAAGGGAUACCAAACAAACGUCCAAACCGGACCAUAAUCAGCAGAAGAAAGGGAAAGCUACAAAGAGGCAGAAGGACAGCACUAGGAAGUCUGCACAGGUGAGAAAAUCCAGUUCAUCAGGCAAGAGUAAAGCAAAGAGAAGAAAAUUGACAAGUUUAGAGGACGAGAGUGGUGGCAGUGGCAGUGAAUAUUUGUUCUGACCUAGUGUCUGCCAUUUGGGUUGAAAUGAGCUGGUUAUGGAGCACACACCUUCCUGGCCAUGGAAUACAUGAGAGAUGCAGAUGAGCAACGGGAGUUUGUGUCCUGGGUGCAGCCAGUGAUGAGCACUUGUGGUAUUAAAGUUAUCAGUUCUCUGGAAAGAAGGCCAAUAACGUUGAUCAGUGCAGUAUAUAGAGGAAUAGAUGACUGUAAAAUAGCAGCAAAUUUGUUGUGAAAGACAAAAACUAAGUAUCAGUUGUAAUGCAGAAAGGUAAAUGUACUAAAUAUUGUAAGAGGGAAGGAAGGUGACAAAGCAUGGCAGAAGUACACAACAUGUUUGAUGCAAAAUCAGUACAAAAAAAGGGACAAGAAAGUCCUCUUGAGAAAGAUGAAUUAAAUAGUAUAGUCAAAGCAGCCUCGUGCAAAGGCUGGUAUAAUUAUAAUCAUAGCUAAAAAUCAUUAAAAUGGAAAGGCAAGAAGUUUUAGUGGCAAACCAGUCAUGAUGCAGGGGUUGAAAUAGUAACAAGCAUUGAUAAAAAUGAUUUAUAAGAAACAAAGUGAUAGACGCAAACCAGUUACAUUGCAGAGCGAGGCUGGAAUUAUUAUAAGCAGAGACAUUACAAUAGCAAAAGGCAGAGACAAGAAGUGUUAGAGAUGUUCCAUUUUCAGUGAAAAGGCUAUAAGAACUAUAAGCAUAGACAACAACAGAGCUAAGAGGCGAAAUCAGCAGGAAAAAAAAUAAAAUCAGAGAAAGGAAAUUUUAGAGGCAAAGGAAGACAUUAGUGGCUGAAUGUAGAGGUGAAGACAGUACAAACGUGGUAGAGACAUGAAUAAACAGUGGCAAAAAUUAUAGCUUAAAAAAAAAAAUGUAUGAGAAAUUCAAAUGGAACAAACCAAAAAACUACAUAAAGCAGAAAGUCUUCAGUACAAAAAUGUUGGAGACAGAAAUAACAUGAAAUGUAGAAAAGAUGUGAUCAAGUUGAUGAUGCAAACAGUAUUACUAUUAGAAAUAUGUUGCUAAAAGAGUUAGACAUUUCCUGUACAAGCAGUUGACAGAACAGUUUGUUUGUCAACAAGUCCUGGUGUAGUUUACUACCAUUUUCAGUGGCAUACUGAUCAGUCAGCCUACAACAUUUGCAGGGUGGUCUUAAAGGAUCAAUGAAAAAUGAUGACACCUGACAGAAUGUAGCAUCCGGAGGAUAAAGGCCUAACAGAUGGGACAUUCUGGCUAAUGACUCAGAAAAUAGGAGACAAGAUGGCAUUCCUGUUGUUCACAAGGACUAAGUGCAGCUUAAAAGCUCCUCAGCAGCUGAGGUCAUAAGUACUGUAACUUAUGGGGUCAUACUGGCAUAUUCAAGCAACCUAAAUAGAUAUGUGCUGUUCAACAGAAGAUGUUGCAAGAACGUUAAACAAGGCAAUGAAGUCACUUAUGGAUCCUGUGCCUGACGAAAACAUACUGUAGAACCAGAAAUGUUUGCCAUCUUUCCAGUUGGUGAAACAGUGUCACAAAAAUAAACAUGUUGUCAUGCAACAGGACUUUUAAAAAUUCAGUAUAAAAAUAAAAAUGACAAGAGAAUAUGUUUUGCAAGACAAGAAAAUUGUUCAUUUGUUAAUAAUCUUAACUUUCCUUAAAACUUAAACAUAUUUCAGUAAAAUUAUUAGAAUGACCAUAACUUAGUUACAGGGAAUUCUGAAACUGUGUUAAAGGCUCAAAGUUUCCCGACACCUGAUCUUAAACUUGCAAAAUUUUGCAUUUGCAAAAUUAUGUUUCCUCUUUACUGGAAAAUACGCAUAUUUCAUUACCUCUCAUGAACAGACUCAAUCAAACUGAGUAAGCUAUUAUGCUGCUUGAUUGCAUUCUAUGCUUCCAAAGGAUCUUCUCACAAAUUUUUAGCUCAUCAGAGCACAAAGUGCGUCAACGUGCGUCGUCCGUCGUGCAUCAACAUUUGCCUUGUGAACACUCUAGAGACCACAUUUUUGACCCAAUCUUUAUGAAACUUGGUCAAAAUGUUUGCCUUGAUGAUCUCUAGGUCAAGUUCGAAACUGGAUGAUGUGGGGUCAAAAACUAGGUCAGUAGGUCAAAUCAUAGAAAAAGCUUGCGAACACUCUAGAGACCACAUUUGUGUUCCAAUCUUUAUGAAACUUAGUCAGAAUGUUAGCAUGAUGAUCUCUAGGUCAAGUUUGAAACUGGGUCAUGUUGGGUCAAAAACUAGGUCAGUAGGUCAGAUCAAAGGAAAAGCUUGUGAACACUCUAGAGACCACAUUUUUGACCCAAUCUUUAUGAAACUUGGUCAGAAUGUUUGUCUUGAUGAUCUCUAGGUCAAUUUGAUACUGGGUCAUGUGGGGUCAAAAACUAGGUCAGAAGGUCAGAUCAAAGGAAAAGCUUGUGAACACUCUAGAGACUACAUUUUUGACCCAAUCUUUAUGAAUCUUAGUCAGAAUGUUUCUCUUGAUGAUCUCUAGGUCAGGUUCAAAACUGGGUCAUGUGGGGUCAAAAACUAGGUCAGUAGGUCAGAUCAAAGGAAAAGCUUGUGAACACUCUAGAGACCACAUUUUUGACCCAAUCUUUAUGAAACUUGGUCAGAAUGUUUGUCUUGAUGAUCUCUAGGUCAAGUUUGAUACUGGGUCAUGUGGGGUCAAAAACUAGGUCAGUAGUUCAGAUCAAAGGAAAAGCUUGUGAACACUCUAGAGACUACAUUUUUGACCCAAUCUUUAUGAAUCUUGGUCAGAAUGUUUCUCUUGAUGAUCUCUAGGUCAGGUUUGAUACUGGGUCAUGUGGGGUCAAAAACUAGGUCAGUAGUUCAGAUCAAAGGAAAAGCUUGUGAACACUCUAGAGGCUACAUUUUUGACCCAAUCUUUAUGAAACUUGGUCAAAAUGUUUGCCUUGAUGAUCUCUAGGUCAAGUUUGAUACUGGGUCAUGUGGGGUCAAAAACUAGGUCAGUAGUUCAGAUCAAAGGAAAAGCUUGUGAACACUCUAGAGACUACAUUUUUGACCCAAUCUUUAUGAAUCUUGGUCAGAAUGUUUCUCUUGAUGAUCUCUAGGUCAGGUUUGAUACUGGGUCAUGUGGGGUCAAAAACUAGGUCAGUAGUUCAGAUCAAAGGAAAAGCUUGUGAACACUCUAGAGGCUACAUUUUUGACCCAAUCUUUAUGAAACUUGGUCAAAAUGUUUGCCUUGAUGAUCUCUAGGUCAAGUUCGAAACUGGAUGAUGUGGGGUCAAAAACUAGGUCAGUAGGUCAAAUCAUAGAAAAAGCUUGCGAACACUCUAGAGACCACAUUUGUGUUCCAAUCUUUAUGAAACUUAGUCAGAAUGUUAGCAUGAUGAUCUCUAGGUCAAGUUUGAAACUGGGUCAUGUUGGGUCAAAAACUAGGUCAGUAGGUCAGAUCAAAGGAAAAGCUUGUGAACACUCUAGAGACCACAUUUUUGACCCAAUCUUUAUGAAACUUGGUCAGAAUGUUUGUCUUGAUGAUCUCUAGGUCAAUUUGAUACUGGGUCAUGUGGGGUCAAAAACUAGGUCAGUAGGUCAGAUCAAAGGAAAAGCUUGUGAACACUCUAGAGACUACAUUUUUGACCCAAUCUUUAUGAAUCUUAGUCAGAAUGUUUCUCUUGAUGAUCUCUAGGUCAGGUUCAAAACUGGGUCAUGUGGGGUCAAAAACUAGGUCAGUAGGUCAGAUCAAAGGAAAAGCUUGUGAACACUCUAGAGACCACAUUUUUGACCCAAUCUUUAUGAAACUUGGUCAGAAUGUUUGUCUUGAUGAUCUCUAGGUCAAGUUUGAUACUGGGUCAUGUGGGGUCAAAAACUAGGUCAGUAGUUCAGAUCAAAGGAAAAGCUUGUGAACACUCUAGAGACUACAUUUUUGACCCAAUCUUUAUGAAUCUUAGUCAGAAUGUUUCUCUUGAUGAUCUCUAGGUCAGAUUUAAAACUGGGUCAUGUGGGGUCAAAAACUAGGUCAGUAGGUCAGAUCAAUGGAAAAGCUUGUGAACACUCUAGAGACCACAUUUUUGACCCAGUCUUUAUGAAUCUUGGUCAGAAUGUUUGUCUUGAUGAUCUCUAGGUCAGGUUCAAAACUGGGUCAUGUGGGUUCAAAAACUAGGUCAGUAGGUCAGAUGUGGAAAAGCUUGUGAACACUCUAGAAGAGACCACAUUUUUGACCCAAUCUUUAUGAAACAUGGUCAGAAUGUUUCUCUUGAUGAUCUCUAGGUAAAGUUCGAAACUGGGUCAUGUGGGGUCAAAAACUAGGUCACCUGGUCAAAUCAAAAGAAAAGCUUGUGAACACUUAGAGGCCACAUUUGUGACUCAAUCUUUAUGAAACUGGGUCAGAAUGUUUGUCUUCAUCAUUUCUAGGUCAAUGUGAAUCUGGGUCAUGUGGGGUCAAAAACUAGGUCAGAUCAAAGGAAAUUCUUAUCAACACUCUAGAGACCACAAUUUAAGUUUGAAACUCAUGGGAAUUUGUCAGAAUGUUUGUUUUGAUGAUCUAUAGGUCAAGUAAGAAUCUGGGGUCAAAAACUAGGUCACCGGUCAAAUCAAGGGAAAACCUUGUGAACACUCUAGAGGCCACAGUUGUAACCAAAUCUUUACGAAAUUUAGUCAGAAUGUUUGUCUUGAUGAUCUUUAGGUCAAGUUCAACUCUUGGUCAUGCGGGGUAAAAAACUACGUCAGUAGACCAGAUCAACUCUGGUGAGCGAUGUAUAGGGCCGUCAUGGCCCUCUUGUUAUUAAUUAUUACAAGGGCAGUCUUUAAGUUCCGUGUGGCAGCUGUAAAAAGUCUCUCCAUACUUUGACUCAGUGUUGUUAUAUUUUCUUGUUCUUUAAGAUCAUAGAGUACAUUCAUUAAUCCCCUGCCAUGAGUGGUGGGUUGUUAAAGGAAUGGUCUCUGUCCAUCCUUCCGUCUUUCUGCCCUUCUGUCUUCCGUCCUUCCGUAACAUUUGUAUCUGCUCUAUAUCUCCUAAACCCCUUGAAGGAUUUUCAUGAAACUUGGCUCAUCAAGACGAUGUGCAGAACCCAUGAGUCAGCCAUGUCAGUUCAAGGUCACAACUCAAGGUCAAAGGUUUUAGCCUUCCAUUUCAUGUCCGCUCUGUAUCUCCUAAACUUCUUGAAUGAUAAUCAGGAAACUGAUCACCUUAUCAAGACGAUGUGCAGAACGCAUGAGUCAGUCAUGCCGGCUCAAGGUCAAAGUCACAACUUAGGGUUUGAGCCUUCCUUUUUGUGCUCACUCUGUAUCUCCUAAACCCCUUGAAGGAUUUUCAUGAAACUUGAGUCAAAUGAUCACCUCAUCAAGACGAUGUGCAGAACCCAUGAGUCAGCUAUGCCACUUCAAGGUCAAGGUCACAACUCAAGGUCAAACGUUUGAGCCUUCCAUUUCGUGUCCGCUCUGUAUCUCCUAAUCCCCUUGAAGAAUUCAUAUGAAACCUGGGUUAAAUGAUCACCUAACCAAGACUAUGUGCAGAACUGAUGAGUCAGCCAUGCCAGCUCAAGGUCAAGGUCACAACUUAGGGUCAGAAGUUUGAGCCUUCGUUUUUGUGCCCACUCUGUAUCUCAUAAACCCCUUGAAGGAUUUUCAUCUUUUUCUUCUUGUCGUUCACGACUACACUGUCAGACCAGUAGCCUUGAAGAAACUUGUGGUUUGCCGCAGAUCCUCAAUGCCUCCAUACAGUUUCUGGUGGAUUGAGGUAUCUAUCGGCCAAGUCGCAGCUCGCUCCUGGUCAUAUGCUUAUUACAUCUCUGAAGUAUAUGCUCCGCAGUCUGAUCUUCUUCACCAAAUGAACAAGUUGGCGAUGAUGCCAGUCUGUAUUUCUUGUACAUGUGAGCAUUGAGCUUGUUGUGCCCUGAGCGGAGCCUGACCAUCAUCGCUUGUUCAAACCGAUCAAGGAUUUUCAUCAAACUUGGAUGAAAUGAUCACCUCAUCAAGAACUCAUGAGUCAGCCAUGUCAACUCAAGGUCAAGGUCACAACUCAAGGUCAAAGGUUUGAGUUCUGUAUCUCUUAAACCCCUUGAAGCAUUUUCAUGAAACUUGGGUCAAAUGAUCAUCUCAUCAAGAUGAUGUGCAAAAUUUGUGGGGCAGCCAUGUCAGUUCAAAGUCAAGAGCACAGCUCAAUGUCAAAUGUUUACCCUUUAACUUUCCAUAUCAGUGGCAGGGGAUUUAGCUGUUUUCAGACUGCCUUGUUCAUACUGAAAUAGAAUUCUGCUUAAGCCAGUGCUAGGGGGCACGAGGGGUGAUGCACAUUUCAUUACCUCUCAUGAACAAACUCAAUCAAACUGAUUAAGCUAUUGUGUUGCUUGGUUGCGUUCUAUGCUUCCAGACGAUUUUCUCACAGAUUUUACUAUCACAACAGCAGUCUUUAAGUGCCAUGUAGCAACUGUAAAAAGUCUCCCCGUACUUUGACUUGGUGAAGUUAUAUUUUCUGGUUCUGCUGUAAUAGAAUUCCACUUAUGCCAGUGCUGAGAGGCAGGGGUGAGGGUUGUUGCACAUUUCAUUACCUCUCGUGAACAAUCUGUUCUUAUGUUGCUUGGAUGUGUUCUUUGCUUCCAAAAGAUCUCACAGAUUUUAUUACAAUGCUUUCAUUUAUAAUUGAGGAAUAAGAGGGCUGGUAAAAAAAUUCCAGGAAGAAAAUCAGUUAUUUAAUGCUCUGAGACUAGAAGAUAAUAAGGCUAAUUUUUCCACAAUAGCAGCUUUAUGAUUUGAUUUUUACCAAACUGGCACACAACUUGUAUCACCAUAAGAUCUUGGUUCCUUUCUUGAACUGGCCAGAUUCCAUUAUGGGUUCCAGAGUUAUGGCCCCUGAAAGAGCCAGAACUUGUCUGCAAAAUAGCAGCUUCAUUUAUGAUUUUAUUUUAACCAAACUUGCACACAACUUGUAUCACCAUAAGAUCUUGGUUCCUUUCUUGAACUGGUGAGAUUCCUUUAUGGGUUCUAGAGUUAUGGCUCCUGAAAGGGCCAAAAUUAGCUAUUUUGACCUUGUCUGCACAAUAGCAGCUUCAUUUAUGAUUUGAAUUUAAUCAAACUUGCCCAAAACUUGUGUCAUCAUAAGAUCUCAGUUCCUUUCUUGAACCGGCUAGAUUCCAUAAUGGGUUCCAGAGUUAUGGCCCCUGAAAGGGCCAAAAUUAGCUAUUUUGACCUUGUCUGCACAAUAGCAGCUUCAUUUAUGAUUUGAUUUUAACCAAACUUGCACACAACUUGUAUCACUUCAAGGUCUUGGUUCCUUUCUUGAACUGGCCAAAUUCCGUCAUGGGUUCCAGAGUUAUGGCCCCUUAAAGGUCCAAAAUUGGCUAUUUUGGCUUUUGCAGCCAUAUAGAGACUUCAUUUAUGGUUUUAUUUGAUACAAACUUCCAAAGUAUCUUCAACAACAAUAAAUCUUAGAUUCCAUGACAAAUCAGAUCCAAUCGUAGGUUCCAGAGUUAUUUUAUAUCUGAUUACCUCCCCUGAUUGUAAUCAAAAUGGAUUUAUAUCAGUAAGUACUUAUAGGACUUAUUUGAAAUUUCAUUAUUGUCAUUAGUUGGACUGAGACAAUCAGGGUAGAUAACUAUGGACUGAUUUUAUGUCAAAUUACCUCCCUUUAUUUCAAAUUAAAAUGGGUAUAUCUCCGUAACUAAUGAAGAUACUGAUCUGAAAUUUCAUUUAUGUCAACAGAUUUAUUUGGCAGAGCCUUCUUUUGUUCACUUACAAUAUUUUUUUUAAUUACUUCCCUUUUACGUUACUAUAAAUAGCUUAUAUUUAGUAACUUUUUUAUUACUGCGCCGUAGGGAAAAACCGAGACCACUUUUCUGUGGUACAACAUGGAUGGUACCUCCAAUUUUUAGGUGCAUUUUGACAUAUCUGUACCUUGUAAGAAUUGUUUUUUUCUUUUUGGUUAAAUUUCUUCCCUUUAUUGUUCCUGUCCUUUGGACUUAAAUAUUUUUACUGAGGACCUUCUUGUCCUCAAGUGCAAUGAUAACAGGUGAGCGAUAUAGGGCCAUCAUGGCCCUCUUGUUUAUUUGAUUGCAUUAAGUUUAUAUAUGGUUUUUGGAUGUUCAUAUAUGUGUAUGUGUUAAGCUGCAAGAAAGAAAACGUUCAGCAUUUACUUUUGUGGCCGAGUGGUUAUGGUCACUCGCAUUGGAAGAGAUGCCAUUUCUUUCAGGUGGUUGCAGAACCAUUUGAAAUAUAUAUAUGUGUACAAUUCUCUCAUUUCAGGAAGUUAUUCACCUAGCUUACAAAAGUUUGAUAGUUCUACCAAGGUAUUCUUAAAGCACCCAUGUAAAGUUGGAAUAUCACUAUUUUGUUAUUUUGUUGGUUAAAACUUUUAACAUGUCAAAUCAAAAGUACUUCACAAACUUGUUAUACAUUAUGUUAUUGUGAUGAAAAUAUUGUAUUGUUUUUAUGUGUUAUGUUGAUAAUUUUUGCAAUAAGUAAACAUUAUUUGAUAGUUUGUCUUAAUUAUUACUACAUUUGUACAAUGUCAUAUCAUACAUAUUACAUGUUGAAUUUAUUGAACAAGUUAAUAAAAUGACACUCCUUCUCAUUGAGGUAAACAUUCAUGCCAGAUAUAUACAAGAUUGGUCCAUACAUGUCAGAGUUAUG
Long non-coding RNA from Mercenaria mercenaria, 8795 nucleotides. RefSeq lists it as uncharacterized. The record is from RefSeq and is a predicted model, not a curated record. Lineage: Eukaryota; Metazoa; Mollusca; Bivalvia; Venerida; Veneridae. The transcript has 5 exons.